AUUAGAACGCUGGCGGAAUGCUUUACACAUGCAAGUCGAACGGCAGCACGGGGCAACCUGGUGGCGAGUGGCGAACGGGUGAGUAAUACAUCGGAACGUGCCCAAUCGUGGGGGAUAACGUAGCGAAAGUUACGCUAAUACCGCAUACGAUCUACGGAUGAAAGCGGGGGAUCGCAAGACCUCGCGCGAAUGGAGCGGCCGAUGUCAGAUUAGGUAGUUGGUGGGGUAAAGGCUCACCAAGCCGACGAUCUGUAGCUGGUCUGAGAGGACGACCAGCCACACUGGGACUGAGACACGGCCCAGACUCCUACGGGAGGCAGCAGUGGGGAAUUUUGGACAAUGGGCGCAAGCCUGAUCCAGCCAUUCCGCGUGCAGGAUGAAGGCCUUCGGGUUGUAAACUGCUUUUGUACGGAACGAAACGGUUCUCUCUAAUACAGGGGGCUAAUGACGGUACCGUAAGAAUAAGCACCGGCUAACUACGUG
RNAcentral lists this ribosomal RNA (483 nucleotides) under uncultured bacterium. RNAcentral describes it as "bacterial SSU rRNA". It matches the Rfam family "Bacterial small subunit ribosomal RNA", at positions 31 to 507 of the family's 1533-position model. The record is from RNAcentral.